AACCAGGAAAAGACAACACUUGUGUCAUAUCACAAUAUCCAAAAUUUAAGAGGAUAUCUAGCCUCAUAUAUCAAUGUCGAUAUAAUAUCGAUGUAUUGCCCAGCCCUACAUCAUAGUCACAUUAGGAACAUUAUAUGCCUUUCAGGAUAUUUUCCAUCCCAUUACAUUGUCAUAUAGCUUCUCCAAAAAAGAUAGAGGCCUUGUGUUUGCGUCACAAGCCCCAUCAGAGCGAUUGCUUGAACUGUCAUAGACGUCUCGCAUCAUGCUGACAACAGACUAGCUCACUAAGAAGCUAACAUUACCCAAGUACAAAUGUAGUCAGAUGAGUCAGCAUGCCAUUUAAAGAGUCACUUCACUCAAACUACCCUCUAGUAUCUGAGAUAACCAUGCAGAAAGUUCUGGUAUUAUUUGUCCAAGUUUUGUUGAUGUUUGUCUCUAAGGUUUAUGGCUCCUCCCCAAUAAAAUGGAGGGGAAUAUAGAAUAAUAAUAUAAUAGAAAGAUGGCUAAGAAAAUCUAAUUUUUUUUAAGUUUGGGUGGACUAGACCUUUUAAAAAAGAGAUGAAGACUUGAUGAGUUGAUGGUCGGGCCUGUAUGUUUAAGAGAAAAAAAAUUUUCUGCAUUUUCUCAGCCCUAAAAGCCCUCCAAUAUGGCCGCCAAAGUGCUGUAUUCCACAGAUUUUUUUAUUUUUUUUUUUGUAUUUUAAAACAAUGUUGUGCUUUUCCUUAUGACUCUUUGUGAGGCCUUCAGGGGAAGUCUUGCCAAAGUUCAAGGAUAAUUCUAGUUGAUUACAGCUUUGUUCUUGUUGUCGUAGUUUUGGCCGUUAUUUCUAUCAGUAAUGAUAACGUUGUACUCCUGAAGUUAACUGCUGAGAUUGUCGUAAACAUUUUCUUCAUGCGGCUUUACAAUCAUGCACGCACCGCCAUGCACCGCCAUGCACUGCCAUGCACCGCCAUGUGCUGGAUGUCAGGCAGUUAUCCUGGAUAUGUACUUCUGUUGAUCCAGACUGGUGGAGACCAAAACCAGAGGAGUGUGAAUGUGGCCAGAAACAUGACUCCAAAUAAAUGCUAGUAUAUUACUCAGUGUGAUAGAAAUGAUGGCCAAGGUUACAAAAAUAACACCCUAGUUAUCCUUAAAAAUAUCAAAAUACAACAUUUUGUCCAUGUAGGCUUUUUGCUGAAUGACAAACUUUCUUUCAACACAAACUAUUUAUUUUAGACAUGCUUUGUUAUGAUUUUGUGAACAUUUCAAUUCACAGCUCCCGGACAGUGAGCCCACCUAGUUAGAGUUAAGUCACAGUUAGUGCUUGACAGCCUCACAUUCCAGUGGGACCAUGGCAAACAUUAUGGGAUGUAAAUGGCUACUCUGUUAGACUCUGCCUGUGUUCAGGCGGGCCUGUACCGUGUUGUAACUCUGUCUGUCUGUUCUAGUCUUUUCUCCUAUCCCAAACUGACUUUGCCUGUUUGCCUGCUGCGCUCUUAAGUGUCGCCUGUUUUUACGACUGUGAGGAACUGAAGUGAACUCCCUCUCUCUUUCUCUCUCUCUCUUUCUCUCACUGUUUACAUGCUCUGACUUAUUGUGACAUAAUGUAAGGACUGAAUGGCCCACUCUGUGUCAAAUAGGGAUGAAUGCCUUGGCACACUGCAACCAUAUGAAAUUGCUUUUUUGGAAUGUCGUCUUUGUUUGCACUGAAGCUUUAGAAUCGACCCAGCACAUAUGUUCAUGGACACGCACCUUUUUGUUUGUCGAUAUUUACUUUCUCCUUUUCUUCAGCGUUGCACUUUGCGUUGUUCACAACCGGGUUAGAAUCACUGCCGCAUCACAUGUAUACGUGAAGUCACAGUGGUAGAUGCUUAGCUUUAUAUAACCACAGAUGUUCUUAUGACUGUACUACUGUAUAAUGAAUCCACUAUCUCAUUUUUUGUGAUGUAGAUUGGGGAAAAUGUAUCUUAAAUCAGAUGUCCGUGGAAGCAGAUGAUCCUGUUGUCUUGUGAAGCUCAUUCCAGCUCUCUGAUUGGCUAGUGAUAAGCUGUAGGUUAAAUAAAGGCCUGCUGCGGUUUUUUUUAGGAACUCCCAUCACGUCGGGAGUUGGUAAAACAGCUGAUAACCAGCAGUCGGUCCUCCUGACUGUUGAUUUAGAAGGCAAUUACUGUAAAUGAUAUCCUUUAUUUACCUUAUCUGCAGAUUUGUUAUAUAUAAUUAUUUGUUUUAGAUUAAUUUUAUUAAUUUCAAUUUUAUUUAUGGUAUCAAAUCAUAACAAGAUACAUAGUGUAGGUCUAGACCACUAUAAUUUACAAAGACCCUGAAAACCUGUUUUAAUUGCAUGUUGAUGCAAACUCAAAAGUUUGUCUGGAUAAAUGCCUGGAUACAUUCGGGAUAACAUACAUUUUCACAGCACUAUUUCCAUCCGUACAACAGGGUCAGGUCCUACUCACCGCUCUUGUGACACCACAUUGUUUAAAAAUGUGUUACGUGCCCCACUAAUGGUGGACGGAAGCUAAUGAUUACUUUUGGAUUCCGGGUCAAUUUUAGCAACUAUAGCAUGUUUUGUUCACAGCUGCAACAGAGAAGAGUAACAGAAACCUAUAUGAUUGUGACAUUAUCCAGCAGAGCCCAGGGUUUCUGUGUUAAGGAACCUUGAAGAUAGUAUUUAAAGUUUUUUUUAUAACAUGCUGUUCCUAGUAAGCUCUUAGUUUGAAAGAUUUGCAGGAAAUGUUAAGUUUGAUAGUAACUUGUCGGCGCUCAAUAAAAAAGGCAAAGCAGACAUGAUUGGGAUUAAUAAUCAGUGAAUGAAAACAGCAUUUCUGUUAAAAAACAAAACAAAGAGCACAAUGGUGAGUAUGACGUGACUGAUGCACUGAUGAUUCAUUAUACUGAAUGUAUCAAGUGCGCUAUCACAGCACAGGUAAUCCCACCCCAACUCAAUGUUUAGCUGCCCUUCUUAGUGCCAGCCUUUAUUUGUUCAACCACUAUGUUAAUACCGGCUUUUAUGGAACCCAAAAUUAUUCUCAUAAAUUACACAAAACACCUAUUUCUCUCCAGAAGUGUGUGUAUGUUUCCUUAAUUUAUAUUGGGUGUUUGUCCCAAAAUGUACCCGAUGGACUAUUAGUUUUUUUUUAUCGUAUGUGGACCAAUAAAACAACAAAGACUUUAUACAAUAGCGAGAAAAUAAAGAAAAUGUAUUGGAUACUUACUAUUAGCUUGCAAUUGCCUAGAUGUUCAAGAUAUUGCAUGAUA
Long non-coding RNA from Sander lucioperca (pikeperch), 3234 nucleotides. RefSeq lists it as uncharacterized. The record is from RefSeq and is a predicted model, not a curated record. The transcript has 2 exons. Lineage: Eukaryota; Metazoa; Chordata; Actinopteri; Perciformes; Percidae.